This 614-nucleotide ribosomal RNA is filed under the name Escherichia coli. Its description in RNAcentral is "bacterial SSU rRNA". It matches the Rfam family "Bacterial small subunit ribosomal RNA", at positions 170 to 779 of the family's 1533-position model. Lineage: Bacteria; Pseudomonadati; Pseudomonadota; Gammaproteobacteria; Enterobacterales; Enterobacteriaceae. RNAcentral also lists the same sequence under 1 other name. The record is from RNAcentral.
CGCAUAACGUCGCAAGACCAAAGAGGGGGACCUUCGGGCCUCUUGCCAUCGGAUGUGCCCAGAUGGGAUUAGCUAGUAGGUGGGGUAACGGCUCACCUAGGCGACGAUCCCUAGCUGGUCUGAGAGGAUGACCAGCCACACUGGAACUGAGACACGGUCCAGACUCCUACGGGAGGCAGCAGUGGGGAAUAUUGCACAAUGGGCGCAAGCCUGAUGCAGCCAUGCCGCGUGUAUGAAGAAGGCCUUCGGGUUGUAAAGUACUUUCAGCGGGGAGGAAGGGAGUAAAGUUAAUACCUUUGCUCAUUGACGUUACCCGCAGAAGAAGCACCGGCUAACUCCGUGCCAGCAGCCGCGGUAAUACGGAGGGUGCAAGCGUUAAUCGGAAUUACUGGGCGUAAAGCGCACGCAGGCGGUUUGUUAAGUCAGAUGUGAAAUCCCCGGGCUCAACCUGGGAACUGCAUCUGAUACUGGCAAGCUUGAGUCUCGUAGAGGGGGGUAGAAUUCCAGGUGUAGCGGUGAAAUGCGUAGAGAUCUGGAGGAAUACCGGUGGCGAAGGCGGCCCCCUGGACGAAGACUGACGCUCAGGUGCGAAAGCGUGGGGAGCAAACAGGAUU